UACGUAGGUGGCAAGCGUUUGUCCGGAUUUACUGGGCGUAAAGGGCGUGCAGGCGGUCUGUUAAGUGCAGGGUGAAAGCUCCCGGCUCAACUGGGAGAGGUCCUUGCAUACUGGCGGGACUUGAGGGGGGUAGAGGAAAGUGGAAUUCCCGGUGUAGUGGUGAUAUGCGUAGAUAUCGGGAGGAACGACCUGUGGCGGAAGGCGGCUUUCUGGGCCCUACCGUGACGCUGACGACGGCGAAAAGCGUGGGGAGCCAAACAGGG
RNAcentral lists this ribosomal RNA (263 nucleotides) under uncultured bacterium. Its description in RNAcentral is "partial 16S ribosomal RNA". It matches the Rfam family "Bacterial small subunit ribosomal RNA", at positions 524 to 777 of the family's 1533-position model. The record is from RNAcentral.